GAUGAACGCUGGCGGCGUGCCUAAUACAUGCAAGUCGAGCGAACAGAUGAGGAGCUUGCUCCUCUGACGUUAGCGGCGGACGGGUGAGUAACACGUGGAUAACCUACCUAUAAGACUGGGAUAACUUCGGGAAACCGGAGCUAAUACCGGAUAAUAUAUUGAACCGCAUGGUUCAAUAGUGAAAGACGGUUUUGCUGUCACUUAUAGAUGGAUCCGCGCCGCAUUAGCUAGUUGGUAAGGUAACGGCUUACCAAGGCAACGAUGCGUAGCCGACCUGAGAGGGUGAUCGGCCACACUGGGACUGAGACACGGUCCAGACUCCUACGGGAGGCAGCAGUAGGGAAUCUUCCGCAAUGGGCGAAAGCCUGACGGAGCAACGCCGCGUGAGUGAUGAAGGUCUUCGGAUCGUAAAACUCUGUUAUUAGGGAAGAACAAAUGUGUAAGUAACUAUGCACGCCUUGACGGUACCUAAUCAGAAAGCCACGGCUAACUACGUG
RNAcentral lists this ribosomal RNA (497 nucleotides) under uncultured bacterium. Its description in RNAcentral is "partial 16S ribosomal RNA". It matches the Rfam family "Bacterial small subunit ribosomal RNA", at positions 28 to 507 of the family's 1533-position model. The record is from RNAcentral.